AGUGGACGCUGGCGGUAGGCCUAACACAUGCAAGUCGAACGGCAGCACAGUAAGAGCUUGCUCUUACGGGUGACGAGUGGCGGACGGGUGAGGAAUACAUCGGAAUCUACUUUUUCGUGGGGGAUAACGUAGGGAAACUUACGCUAAUACCGCAUACGACCUACGGGUGAAAGCAGGGGAUCUUCGGACCUUGCGCGAUUGAAUGAGCCGAUGUCGGAUUAGCUAGUUGGCGGGGUAAAGGCCCACCAAGGCGACGAUCCGUAGCUGGUCUGAGAGGAUGAUCAGCCACACUGGAACUGAGACACGGUCCAGACUCCUACGGGAGGCAGCAGUGGGGAAUAUUGGACAAUGGGCGCAAGCCUGAUCCAGCCAUACCGCGUGGGUGAAGAAGGCCUUCGGGUUGUAAAGCCCUUUUGUUGGGAAAGAAAAGCAGCAGGUUAAUACCCCGCUGUUCUGACGGUACCCAAAGAAUAAGCACCGGCUAACUUCGUG
This 492-nucleotide ribosomal RNA is filed under the name uncultured bacterium. RNAcentral's name for it is "partial 16S ribosomal RNA". It matches the Rfam family "Bacterial small subunit ribosomal RNA", at positions 29 to 507 of the family's 1533-position model. The record is from RNAcentral.